GAUGAACGCUGGCGGCGUGCCUAAUACAUGCAAGUCGAGCGAACAGACGAGGAGCUUGCUCCUCUGACGUUAGCGGCGGACGGGUGAGUAACACGUGGAUAACCUACCUAUAAGACUGGGAUAACUUCGGGAAACCGGAGCUAAUACCGGAUAAUAUAUUGAACCGCAUGGUUCAAUAGUGAAAGACGGUUUUGCUGUCACUUAUAGAUGGAUCCGCGCCGCAUUAGCUAGUUGGUAAGGUAACGGCUUACCAAGGCAACGAUGCGUAGCCGACCUGAGAGGGGGAUCGGCCACACUGGAACUGAGACACGGUCCAGACUCCUAAGGGAGGCAGCAGUAGGGAAUCUUCCGCAAUGGGCGAAAGCUUGACGGAGCAACGCCGCGUGAGUGAUGAAGGUCUUCGGAUCGUAAAACUCUGUUAUUAGGGAAGAACAAAUGUGUAAGUAACUAUGCACGUCUUGACGGUACCUAAUCAGAAAGCCACGGCUAACUACGUG
RNAcentral lists this ribosomal RNA (497 nucleotides) under uncultured bacterium. RNAcentral describes it as "partial 16S ribosomal RNA". It matches the Rfam family "Bacterial small subunit ribosomal RNA", at positions 28 to 507 of the family's 1533-position model. The record is from RNAcentral.